This 465-nucleotide ribosomal RNA is filed under the name uncultured bacterium. Its description in RNAcentral is "partial 16S ribosomal RNA". It matches the Rfam family "Bacterial small subunit ribosomal RNA", at positions 28 to 507 of the family's 1533-position model. The record is from RNAcentral.
GACGAACGCUGGCGGCGUGCUUAACACAUGCCAGUCGAACGGAAAGGCCCUGCUUGCAGGGUACUCGAGUGGCGAACGGGUGAGUAAAACGUGGGUGAUCUGCCCUGCACUUCGGGAUAAGCCUGGGAAACUGGGUCUAAUACCGGAGAGGAGCCAUUUUUAGUGUGAUGGUUGGAAAGUUUUUUCGGUGUAGGAUGGGCUCGCGGCCUAUCAGCUUGUUGGUGGGGUAAUGGCCUACCAAGGCGGCGACGGGUAGCCGGCCUGAGAGGGUGGACGGCCACAUUGGGACUGAGAUACGGCCCAGACUCCUACGGGAGGCAGCAGUGGGGAAUAUUGCACAAUGGGCGCAAGCCUGAUGCAGCGACGCCGCGUGGGGGAUGACGGCCUUCGGGUUGUAAACUCCUUUCGCUAGGGACGAAGCUUUUUGUGACGGUACCUAGAUAAGAAGCACCGGCUAACUACGUG